This is a long non-coding RNA of Orbicella faveolata, 903 nucleotides long. The record is from RefSeq and is a predicted model, not a curated record. Lineage: Eukaryota; Metazoa; Cnidaria; Anthozoa; Scleractinia; Merulinidae.
UUGAUUGACGGAUUGAUUGAUUGAUUGAUUGACUGAUUGACUGAUUAAUUGAUUUUAGCAGGGUUGUACCUGUACUGGAAAGUGUGCGACCAAUAAUUGUUCGUGCAAGAAAGGCUCCUCAUCUUGUUCUGAAGAAUGUAGUUGUAAAGCGGUGAAGUGCGUCAACCGUCUGCCGAAACCUCUUCAGGCCGUACCAUCUCUGGCUACGAUAUCAGCAAGCGACUUUGAAAGCGAACCUUCACCGCGCUCAAAUGUGGGAGGUGAUGAGCGGAAAGCGUUAAUCGAGGUGAAAAACAUACCCGUUAAAGAACUAAAGUCCGACAAGAAGAACAUGCCAUCGUCGAUCAGGCAAAACGGAACAGAAAAUAAGCUUGUCUCGCGUAAACGCCCUAAAGUCUUCAACAAACCACACUCGAGUAGCUCGGUUUCCUCUUCCGAUGAAGACUUGGUCCUGUCGAACCAACGCGGAUUCACUCGACCCGGGACUACUUCCGCUCGGUCUUUUCCCGUGCAUGGAAGUUCGAAGACGCCUGGAUUCAGCUUUGGUUCUGCUAAGAAGGUGAUCGUAAAAAAGUCGAUGACAAAGUUUCACCCGGAAAACAAGCGAAAACGAAAAUUGCUGAAACCUGCCAACACUGCUUCAAGUUUGGGCGUUAAACCUUGAUUCGCGACCCUGCAGGGGUAAACUGAGAGAGAACUGUCUAAAAAUCAUGAACUAUUUUGAGUGAGCAAACAAGUCUCUUUGAGCGCUUGAGAAAUCUUGGAUUCGACCCGAAAAACUCCACAUAGCUCUUUGCAGAGAGUUGCAUAACAUCUUUGUUUGGUUUGCAGUGGCGCGCAAGCUCGCGCAAAGAGAGAUAUAAGUGCUCUUAGAUGAUAACAACCCAACCGGAUACAAUCCAC